RNAcentral lists this ribosomal RNA (253 nucleotides) under uncultured bacterium. Its description in RNAcentral is "partial 16S ribosomal RNA". It matches the Rfam family "Bacterial small subunit ribosomal RNA", at positions 524 to 776 of the family's 1533-position model. The record is from RNAcentral.
UACGUAGGGGGCGAGCGUUGUCCGGAUUUACUGGGCGUAAAGCGCGCGCAGGCGGUUCGUUAAGUCCGUUGUGAAAGCUCCCGGCUCAACUGGGAGAGGUCUUCGGAAACUGGCGGACUCGAGGGAGGCAGAGGAAGGUGGAAUUCCCGGUGUAGCGGUGAAAUGCGCAGAUAUCAGGAGGAACACCGGUGGCGAAGGCGGGUCUCUGGGCAACAACUGACGCUGAGGAGCGAAAGCGUGGGGAGCGAACAGG